GAUGAAGAACGUAGCGAAAUGCGAUAAGUAAUGUGAAUUGCAGAAUUCAGUGAAUCAUCGAAUCUUUGAACGCACAUUGCGCCCCCUGGUAUUCCGGGGGGCGUGCCUGUUCGAGCGUCAUUUCACCACUCAAGCCUCGCUUGGUAUUGGGCAACGCGGUCCGCCGCGUGCCUCAAAUCGACCGGCUGGGUCUUCUGUCCCCUAAGCGUUGUGGAAACUAUUCGCUAAAGGGUGUUCGGGAGGCUACGCCGUAAAACAACCCCAUUUCUAAGGUUGACCUCGGAUCAGGUAGGGAUACCCGCUGAACUUAAGCAUAUCAAUAAGCGGAGGA
This 331-nucleotide unclassified non-coding RNA is filed under the name soil metagenome. RNAcentral's name for it is "partial contains 5.8S ribosomal RNA, internal transcribed spacer 2, and large subunit ribosomal RNA". The stretch from base 1 to 120 matches the Rfam family "5.8S ribosomal RNA", at positions 35 to 154 of the family's 154-position model. The record is from RNAcentral.